UUUUGGGUCUGUAUUUUGGGCUUUUGUUAUGAUAUAGUUUCAUCUCGCUCUUUCUUCUCCGCCUCUAGGUUUCAAACCAACUUUUCAUCUUCUUCCUACUAAUCCAGAAAUCCAUCGGUCAUUCCUCUUAAAUUUCUUCUUAAAUCAAUCGAUCUAUCUUCAAUACCACCUUUUCUCUUCGAGAACAGUUGAGGUUCGAUUAUAAAAAGGUAAAAAGUUUAUGGAGGUUUCGUUCAAGAAGGGAUUAGUAAUUCUGGUCUUGAUCUAAAUCUUUAUAUAUAAAAAAGCGUGAAUAAGAUUGUGAUGGAGUCAAAAUAUGGUAAAAAGAAGUCCAACAGUAGUAGUAGUUCCUUAUUUUACAAAGCUCUCCUCGGUUACAGCAUUGAAGACGUUCGCCCCAACAGUGGAAUCAAGAAAUUCAAAUCUCUGUCUACUCCAACUGCGUUAAGAGGCCAUCCUGAGUUGUCGCGCACAAAGUCUUCACUAUAGUUAUAGCUGCUUUCUUUAAUUUCCAGUUUAUAAUUUACUUUCUGUUAAGCUCUAUUUCUGCUUGGUUCCCCAAUCCCAUCGUUUUCUCAUCCUACUACAAGUUCAGACAACAAGGUGACAUGGCCUUAUCUGCAAUCGGUUUCGAAGUUACGAGAAGCCGCCCGAGGUCUCUUUCUUUGAGCCUAGCAUCUUUCAAGACUCCAAGGGACUGGGUCUCCGUACUCUGACCAGGUCCCAGCUUGACGAAAUACACACUCCUGCUGCCUGCGAGAUUGUUUCUUCUCUCUCCAACGAUCACUUCGACUCUUGCGUCCUCUCUGAGUCCAGCUUCUUUGUCUACCCCUACAAAGUCAUCAUAAAGACUUGUGGCACCACCAAGCUCCUCCUCUCUAUCCCGCCUCUCCUUAACCUGGCUGGUUAGCUCUCUCUGAGUGUCAAGUCCGUCAAGUACACUUGUGGCUCCUUCCUCUGCCCUGGCGGCCAGGAAUAAUCAAGUGGAGACAAAAAUUGUUUAGAAGACUCUAACUGUGCCAAGUUAAAGCUGAGGAAAGUCGCCGUGGUCACUUGAUUCUCCAGCACGAGUCCGAGAGAUUCGUUUUCCAAGCUGAGCCCCUCAUAACUCGCAAGAUUUCUAGCACAUUUUUCAUAUUUUGUUACUUUUUGUUGCAUUUAUUUGGAAACAAAGAGCAAAUCGACAAGAGUCAUAACUCA
Molecule: long non-coding RNA, 1200 nt
Organism: Brassica napus (rape)
Lineage: Eukaryota; Viridiplantae; Streptophyta; Magnoliopsida; Brassicales; Brassicaceae
Exons: 4
Source: RefSeq, a predicted model, not a curated record